AUGUUGCACAACUUUGGCGGCAUAGUGGCGUCACUACCCAUCACGUACCUAGGCCUCCCAAUCACCACCAGUAGGGUUCGUUUAGUCCACCUGCAGUUCAUCCUAGAUAGGAUUCGUGCGCGCCUCGCUGGUUGGAAGGGCAGACUCAUGCAUAUCGCCGGCCGAAGGGUGCUCGUCCGCUGUGUCCUCUCCGCUAUGCCGACGUUCGCCCUCACGGUGCUGAGAGCACCAAGGAAGUUUUUCAAGGAGGUAGAUAAAGCCAGACGUCGUUUCCUCUGGGCACAAGACGAAGCAGCAACCGGAGGAAAGUGCAAGGUAGCAUGGAGCGCGGUCACCACGCCGGAACCCCACGGAGGCCUCGGUAUCCAUGAUCUGGACAAAUUCGCGUGUGCCCUCCGUCUGCGCUGGCUCUGGCUCUCCUGGACCCAUCCAGAGCUGCCAUGGGUCGGCACGGACACACCAUGCAACCUGCAGGACCGAGCCCUGUUCGCUGCCAACACGGUGGUCACCAUCGGGGACGGCAAGACGGCGUCUUUCUGGUCAAGUCCCUGGCUAGACGACAUGCCACUCCGGCUGGACUAUCCUACCCUGUUCGCCCGCUCCAUCCGCAAGAACAGGUCCGUCCGGGACGCGCUGCUCGACGGGCGGUGGAUACUUGAUCUCCGCCACGGGGAAACCAGCAGCAUCGCGCCAUCUGUGCUCCAGCUUGCAAGGGCAAUUCGGAGAGCUGGCAUCAUCAUCAACAAUGAUCUCAGCGACACAAUCCGCUGGACUGCUGGCACCUCCGGGCACUACUCCGCCCGCUCCGCCUACGCGGCACAAUUCCAGGAGCCAAUGGCACCCUUCCCCUCCAAGGACGUCUGGCGAAUUUGGGCACCUGGGAAGCUCAAGAUGUUCCUCUAG
RNAcentral lists this ribosomal RNA (903 nucleotides) under Triticum aestivum (bread wheat). RNAcentral's name for it is "partial small subunit ribosomal RNA". The record is from RNAcentral. Lineage: Eukaryota; Viridiplantae; Streptophyta; Magnoliopsida; Poales; Poaceae.